RNAcentral lists this ribosomal RNA (849 nucleotides) under uncultured bacterium. RNAcentral describes it as "bacterial SSU rRNA". It matches the Rfam family "Bacterial small subunit ribosomal RNA", at positions 524 to 1381 of the family's 1533-position model. The record is from RNAcentral.
UACGAAAGGAGCUUGUGUUAUUCGGUCAAAUUGGGUGUAAAGGGUUUUAAAGCAGUUUUUUGAUAGUUAAAAAUUAAAUGUCAGAGCUAAACUUUGGAAUAUUUUUUAAAACGAAAAUUCUGGAGUAGUUUGCGGGUUAAUAGUAGUUUUUCAAUAAGAGUCAAAUCUGUUAAUAGAAAAAGGAGGACCAAAGGCGAAGGCAAUUAACCAGCUUCUUACUGACGCUGAAGAACUAAAGUAUAGGUAGCAAACAGGAUUAGGGACCCUGGUAGUCUAUACCUUCACUAAUAAAUGUUAAAUGUUGGAAGAUUUUUUUGAUAUUACAGCUAACGCGUUAAACAUUUCACCUGAGAAGUACGAUCGCAAGAUUAAAACUCAAAGAAAUUGGCGGGAGCUUACUAAGAACGGUGGAGCAUGUGGUUUAAUCCGAUAAUCCGCGCAAAACCUUACCAAUUUUAAAUAGAUGCUGCAUGGCUGUCGUCAGUCCGUGUCGUGAGAUGUAUUGUGAAAACAUUUAACGGACAGAACCCUCAACUAUAGUUGCUAAAAUUUAUCUAAAACUUUUAUUUGCAAAAAUUUUAAAGUUUUGAAAAAAAGAACUCUAUAGUAUUGAUAAAUAAAAUUUCAUUUUAUUUAUAUGAAAAUGGGGACGAAGGUAAGUCGUCAUGGCUCUUAUAAAUUGGGCAACACACGUGCUACAAUGAUAUAACAAUUGGAUGCGAAAAUGUGAAUUGGAGCAAAUCCUUAAAUAAUAUCUUAGUACAGAUUUUAGGCUGCAACUUGCCUAAAUGAAGAAGGAAUCGUUAGUAAUCGUGAAUCAGCACGUCACGGUGAAAUUUUUCUAAGCUU